CAGUCGCCACGGUAAUACGAAGGGUGCAAGCGUUAAUCGGAAUUACUGGGCGUAAAGGGUGCGUAGGCGGUUGUUUAAGUCUGUUGUGAAAUCCCCGGGCUCAACCUGGGAAUGGCAAUGGAAACUGGACGGCUAGAGUGUGUCAGAGGAUGGUAGAAUUCCAGGUGUAGCGGUGAAAUGCGUAGAGAUCUGGAGGAAUACCGGUGGCGAAGGCGGCCCCCUGGACAAAGACUGACGCUCAGGUGCGAAAGCGUGGGGAGCAAACAGGAUUAGAUACCCCUGUAGUCCCUGUCUCUUAUAA
Molecule: ribosomal RNA, 301 nt
Filed under: uncultured bacterium
Lineage: Bacteria
Description: partial 16S ribosomal RNA
Rfam family: Bacterial small subunit ribosomal RNA
Source: RNAcentral